UGAGGAAUAUUGGUCAAUGGGCGAGAGCCUGAACCAGCCAAGUCGCGUGAAGGAAGACAGUCCUAAGGAUUGUAAACUUCUUUUAUACGGGAAUAACGGGCGAUACGAGUAUUGCAUUGAAUGUACCGUAAGAAUAAGCAUCGGCUAACUCCGUGCCAGCAGCCGCGGUAAUACGGAGGAUGCGAGCGUUAUCCGGAUUUAUUGGGUUUCAAGGGUGCGUAGGUUGUUCGGUAAGUCAGCGGUGAAACCUGAGCGCUCAACGUUCAGCCUGCCGUUGAAACUGCCGGGCUUGAGUUCAGUGGCAGCAGGCGGAAUUCGUUGUGUAGCGGUGAAAUGCAUAGAUAUCACGAGGAACUCCGAUUGCGAAGGCAGCUUGCCAUACUGCGACUGACACUGAAGCACGAAGGCGUGGGUAUCAAACAGG
Molecule: ribosomal RNA, 424 nt
Filed under: Fusobacteriota bacterium
Lineage: Bacteria; Fusobacteriati; Fusobacteriota
Description: Fusobacteria bacterium partial 16S ribosomal RNA
Rfam family: Bacterial small subunit ribosomal RNA
Source: RNAcentral